CAGGAAUGUUACGUUUAUAAAAGAGGGUAAAUUAUUAUUCUUUAUAAAAUUAUUAGUAAAUGUAAAGUUGAUAUGCCCCGUAAAGGGCAUUUUUUUGUAGUCAAUACGUCUGUCCGGUCAUUUCAGGGUUUGAUUAAGGGUAUUUAUAAGUUUCACUUUCAUUUAGUAAUCCUGAAGUAUUGAGGUGGUCAUAUUAAUUGCUAAUGUAGUACCAAAACUUCCCGUCCUAUGAACUUUUUUUAAAUAGUUGCCUUCUUUUGCGAUACACUAAACGUAGUAAUUAUAUACUGUUAGCUUUGUAUGGUCUACUAAACAGCUAUUUACAAAUUUUCUGUGUUCAUAAAAUUUCAAAAGCACUAACUUAACUAUUACAUAUUUUACAAUUAACUAAUAAUAGAUGAAUAUAGAUUAUACAUGGCAUGAUGCUAUAAUGGUUUACUUUUAUAAAUUGUAACUUGAAUGGAGGGUUUUCUCAUUGGCACUCAUACAACAUCUUCCUAUAUCUAACUAUAAUUCAUUAAUUACAAGUAUUGUUUAUUAUAAGUCUUUUGUAGACGAAACGCGCGUCUGGCGCAAUUAAGAAAAUCAAUCCUAGUAUCUAUGAUGAGUUAAUCUGACAUAGACUCCAAAUAUAUUAAUCCCUAUUCAAUAUAACCCUUUAUCAUAACUGACCCAAUAUUUUUGUUAAAUUUGUUUUCGAUCUGAAUUUGCUUACGAUGUGUCUCAUGAAAUUACAUAAUUUAUCUUCUAACGACAAGAUAUAUAUCAGUAACUUCCUGGUUUGAAUGGUAUGUUUAUUUAACGAUUAUAACAUGCUGUACAUACAAAAUACAUUGUUGUUAUAUUUUAUGCAUAAGCAAAUGUAGACAUUUCUAUGGAUAGUUUCCGUUAUACUAAUUUACCUUAAUUUACUGAAGUUACACGUUACUGAUAUAAAAUGGGCCAUUCCAGUUUAUUUCUGACAGGUGAGGAUGGAUGGCGAGAAUUCUUUUUUAUAUGUAUCAGAAAAAAACAUCGAAAAACUACCUAUCAAAUCUAACAAUUACACCUAUCAGAUAUAUUUCUGUUCAUAUUGGCUGGAUGGGCUUGCAUUGCGAAAAACAUAUCAAUUUUUUUUUAACUGCAAUGAUUGUACCGGACACUUUAACCUGUCAGAAGAUACCUUCCAUCACUGGUAAACUUUCAUUUAGUACAUAAUAUAUGACUAGUGCAUCUACCAUGAUAAAAUAUUUUUUCUUAAGAAUAUGAUGAAAUGUAGAAAACAUUUUAUUCAUUUUUUCAAACAUAAAUACUGCAUAUAUUAUUUGUUUAUAUAUCAUCCAAUUAAACUCAAAUACAUUCAUGUUUUUCUAUAAUGAGUGUUAACAAAUGUUAUAAUACAUAAAUUGUCAGGAAAACAUAGGUGCUUUUGUAAAAAUAUCCAUUCACUGUAUUGUGGACAAAGGAGGGACGAAAUAUACCAAAGGGACAGUCAAACUCAUAAAUCUAAAACAAACUGACAACGCAAUGGCUAAAAAUGAAAAAGACAAACAAACAACAGCACACACGACACAACAUAGAAAACUAAAGAAUAAACAACACGAACCCCACCAAAAAACUAGGGGUGAUCUCAGGUGCUCCGGAAGGGUAAGCAGAUACUGCUCCACAUGCGGCACCCGUCAUGUUGCUUAUGUGAUAACAAAUCCGGUAAAUAGUAUAAUUCGGUAGGUCACAUUCAUGAAAGGGAAGGGGAUUGUAGUUACGACGUAAGGAACAUAUCCGAUAUCAUUUGUGAAACGGUUAUUCCAUAACGGUCAACCAACUCGUGAUGGCGUCCGUAAAAUUUACGAAGGGAUGAUUUCAACUUCACCAUUUGGAACUCUUGGUUUAAUAGCUUCCUUGUGAGCAGCAACCCUCUAUCAAGAAAAUCAUGAUAGGAAAUGCAAGCACGGGAAUAUCGUAUCAAUUGGGAGAUAUAUAUACCCCGUAUGCAGGUGCUGCUGGAAUGAUUGCUACUUAGAAAUGGAAAGUUCACAAUUGGAAAGCUGAAAUCAUCUCUUUGUCGUAAAGUUUUGUUUUCAACCGACCCUCAUUGUCAAUUUUUAGAUGUAAGUCAAGAUAUGAGGCCGACUUAAUUGUAUCCGUACUAUCCUUUAUCUCUAGCUCGAUUGGAUAGAUGCGUUCCACAUAGUCACCAAAUUUUGAAUUAUUUAGUGAAAGAACAUCAUCUAUAUAGCGAAAAGUAUAGUUAAAGGAUAUUGCUAACUUCUUACCUUUCUUCCUAAGAAGUUCCUGCAUGAAGUCAGCCUCAUAAUAAUAAAGAAACAAGUCGGCAAGUAGAGGGGCACAGUUUGUUCCCAUUGGAAUGCCGACAUUCUGUUGAAAAACACGUCCUCCGAACGUAAAAAAAUAUGUUGGCAAUCAAGAAAUCAAGCAUCUUGAUAAUAUCAGUCUCAGAGAAUUUUUUGUUCGAAUCAGAGUGAUCCUUUACAAAGUAGGAUUUAUCCCUCCCUAAGACAAGAUACUUGUAUCUACGUUGGCCAUUCUUUUUUACGAAGCAAAGCAAUACCAACUCUUUCAAUUUGUCUUUUAGUUUGGAAUGUGGAAUACUAGUGUACAGAGUAGAAAAGUCAAAUGUUUUAAUACUGUUACAAGAUGAAAGAGAGUUAGAUUGUAUGUUCUCUAAAAGAUCUUUGGAAUAUUUAAGUAUCCACAUCUGAUUCACGCCCUCUCUAGAAUAGGCAGUUUCACAAUAACUUUGAAGCCCGUCUUUGAUUGCUGAUAAAAAAAGAUGUUAAUAAUUUAGAAAGAGGUUUCGUGGAGCACUUGGAAGACCCAGCAAUAUACCGUUGUUUGUAAGGACAGUUAUGUAGUUUAGGUAUCCAAUACAGUGAUGGCAGAUCCAGUUCUUCAUCUUUGGUUGAAAUUCCACACAGAACAGACCUAUGAUUAUCCAGGAUUUCCUCUUUGGUAAGUGUCGUGAGGGUAUAUGUUGAGUUUCCAAGUGAAUUGUCAAUACCUAAUUCGUUUAUCAAGCUUUAUGUAAUGAUGUAAUACAAAAGAGUUGUUUGGGUUUAUCUGCGGCCAUAUUUGUCUGGAGGUAGUAUAGGUGUAUUGAACAGGGGUCAUAGAGACGUAGCAUGGCAUGUGACCAUUCAGUUCUUAUUUUGAUUUGUACAAGACCCACCAACCAUUCGGAAAGGUGUCUAUUCCUUCUCGGCUUAGUUGCUGCAUAAUCCUCAACGAAUCAUCAAAAUUUUAAAGUUGUAUUCCAAUGAGAUUUAGGCUCACGAUAUUUGGACUUUGAAAACAUUUCGUAGAGAAGUUUAUUAACAAUGUGAGGUCACCGGUAAUAGCGUGGCCAGCAGGAUUAUAUGUGAAUUGGGACCUAGCACAAUGCAAUCAGGAGGUUAGACUUAAGUCGUCAAUACGAGGCCUGCAAAAGGUUUUUAAUUGAAAAUUUUAGUUGCAAUAGGUUUGGUAUAGGUAAGAAAUGAUUGGUAAAGACUGGUUUUGAAAUAAGGAGGUAUUUCUAUUGAACUAAUUUAUGAUGAAGAUAUUGCCUAAGUGACGCCAUCGUACCUUGUUGCAAAGAAAGAUUAAGGAAAGAUCUUUUUCUUUUUCAUCUUUCCAAUGCGGACUGUUGAAAAGUUGUGACUUGCAAUAUCCGAAAUUAUAGCUGUAAUUUUGUAUUGGUUUGAAUGAGGUUUAUAACAUGAUUCUAAACUAAAUUGAAGAGGCUGUGCGGGAGUAUAAUGUUGAGCCACGCUUUUUAAAUGGGUCGUUGCUCUAUUCAUUGGUGUACAGUGCGUCGUUUUUUGCAUGCUAAGAACUCAUUGUUACAUUUUUUUAAGGUGAAACUCAAGCUCUAAAUUUUCAUCCUUAUUGAUUUUUUUGGCAUACAUGUACCAUUAUAAUUGCAUGUAUCGUUUAUUUAUUAUUAUCAUUAGAACUAUACAUAACUUAUUGAUUCUUAAAAUAUGAAUAUAAUUUUAGCUAUAUAUUUUACUAGUCUGCAGUAUAGAAGUAUCUAUUUACAUACUUUUAUUUCGGAUAACAGUUUUACUGUGAUGUCGAAAAAUAGACAAACUGCUGUGAAAAAAGGUAAAUAGUAUAAAGUAUGUCUUGGUAUGUUGUUGGGGUCGAUACAGUAUACAUUUUAUCCAUACUUACACUCAGGAGGUUGACCUCUUAUCCCAGGCACAGAUUACCUUAGCCGUAUUUGGCACAACGUUUUGGAAUGUUAGAUCCUCAAUGCUCUUCAACUUUGUCUUGUUUGGUUUAUGAUAUUUUGAUAUGACGUAUGAUGAGUCUUGUGUGACGAAACGCCGUCUCGCGUAUUAAUUUUAAUCCUGGUACCUUUGAUAACUAUAAAGAGACAACACCGCAUUAAAACAACAGAAGGUUACCAUUUUUCGAAAAACUAAUAUUUUUUUAUCCAUGCUAGAUUCCUAGCUGUUUUUGACAUGUUUGGAUUUUGGAUCCUCAAUGUUCUUCACUUUUACUGUUGGCUUAUUAUAUUUUGAUAUGAGCGUCCUGAUGAGUUUAUGAGACGAACGCGCGUCUAGCAUACUAAAUUAUAAUCCUGGUACCUUUGAUAACUAUUAGAACGUCCGUCCCAUGUAAUGUUUGUUGCUUGUUUUGUUCAUGCAUUUUUAAUAAGAGUUUCGGAAUGUAUCGGAUUUUCUAAAUGUCAGCAUGCAACCUUGUAAUACUAUUUCACAUUCAGAAAUAUAUACAUUAUCUCUAUUUCAAAUAGUUAAGUGGGGAUUUUAUUCGAUUUAUUUGUUAGCAGUAUCUCAAGUUAGAUCAGGUUUUCUGUAAAUUAAUAGAGUUUGUUGAAUAUAUACAUGUAUCAUUGAACCAUUUACGUACAUAUAGACUAUUAAAGUAACCCUUUGGAAACAAAAACUAUAGAUUGUAAACGUCCCCGUUCAGUUUUUAAAUUUUUGGAUUAUUGUCCUUCUUAUCAAAAUUACUGCGAGAUAUUACAUGCUUUGAUAUAUUCAUUUAAAGACCGUACGAAGAUGGUCAGUGAGUAAAUAACACAACAUGGACAGUUGUUUUGUUAAUGUCAUUCGUUGUGGUACGUGUAUGUUUAAUUUGUUUUUCGUUAACUGAUCUGUUAUAUAUAAACAAUGCAAUGCAUGGCUUGAAAACCAGGUUAAACCCACCAUUUGUUUCUUAAAAUGCCCUGUACCAAGACAGGAAAAUUGCCAUGGUUAUAUUAUAGUUCGUUUCUGUGUGUAUUACAUUUUGAUAUUAUGUUUCUGUUGUGUUGUGGUUCUCUUAUAUUUGAUGCGUUUCCCUCAGUUUUAGUUUGUGACUUAAAUUUGUUUUUCUCUAUCGAUUAAUGAAUUUCGAACAGCAGUAUACUACUGUUGUCCUUAUUGAUUUACUUUAUCAGUUAAUAUCCGUUUUUGUUAUCCAAAGUUGUCACGUUAUUGUAAUAGAUUCAGAACAACAAAUCUGAAGGAAAGCAUACAGCUACAGACAUCUGUAUAAUGUAUAUAUAUGUAACAUAACAGAAAUUAUUUGAAAUUCAUAUUAAAUUCAAUUUUAAUUAUUUAAUUGUGGUCUGGAGCAGGCAUAUCAGUAACUGAUAGUAGUCCUUUGAUAAUUUUUGUUUAUCAUUGAUAUUUAUUUUUUAACAUUGGACUUCUUUAAACUAAAAUUUACUGUGCGUAGUUCUAGUAUAAUGGAGAUCAAUAUCUUACAAAACAUUUUUAACCCCACCACAUUUUAUCGUCUGUCCCAGGAAUCCUGGCCUUUGUAAGUCUCGUUUUUUCUAUUUUGGUAUAAACAGCUUUUUUAUUUAGAAAAACAAAUACAUGAACACGUACAGCGAUACAAUGCAAGGACUUGAAAACAAGUGAAUAAAAUUGAGAAUGGAAAUGGGGAAUGUGUCAAUAAUGUGGUCAUUUUUAUAAAUUUCCUGUUUACAAAACUUUUAAUUUUUCGAAAAACUAAGGAUUUUUUUUUAUCCCAGCAUAGAUUAUUACGUAUUUGGCACAAAAUUUGGAAUUUUGGAUUCAUGUCUUUCACUUGUACUUGUUUGGCUAGAUAAAUAUUUGAUAUGACGUACUGAUGAGUCUUUGUGAGAACGCGCGUCUGGUACUAUUAUAAUCCUGGUCCCUUGAUAACUUCAAGAGCCACCGACAUAUAAAAGACCACAGAAGGUUCCAAUAGGUCUUAAAUGCAGGGGAAAUUCCGACCGAGAGUCUUCAGCUGGCCUUAAUAAAUAUACUAGUUCAGUGAUAAUGAACGCCAUACUAAACUCCAAAUUAAACACAAGAAAUUAAAGUUAAAAAUUAUACAAGAAUAAAUGUUUACAUUGAAACGGAAAUUGAUAUCUAAGAAGAAACUUACAUUAUAACAAUAGAUUACAUUAGGUGACUUUAGUUCAGACAUGUCGAUGUUUUAAUUUUACAGGUAUUGUACCAAAUAGGAGACCAACUCAAGAUGAAACUCUUGGUAAAUCUCAAGAAGACAGAAAAACAUCUUUACCUGAUAUCAUUUAUGGCACAGGUA
This 6510-nucleotide long non-coding RNA is filed under the name Mytilus galloprovincialis (Mediterranean mussel). The record is from RNAcentral. Lineage: Eukaryota; Metazoa; Mollusca; Bivalvia; Mytilida; Mytilidae.